UUCUCCUCUUUCUUAAUGCUGUUUGAGUACGGACCUAAUCCAUAGGUCUUGAGGAGGGCAAUGUCAUCUUCGUCGAGAGGACGAGGAUUCUUCUCGUCCUUGAUCAGGUCGUCGUCUUCUGGUGCAGCCGCCGGCGCCAUUCGAUUUAAAUCUUAACAGCUUUCAAGAUUCGAGCUUCUAACGAAUAGAUAGAGGAAUCGGUACUGUGUUUUGAGUAGACGAUGCUCCAUCUCUUCUCUUUCAUAUAUAGAAUCUCUCCAG
Molecule: unclassified non-coding RNA, 261 nt
Filed under: Hevea brasiliensis (rubber tree)
Lineage: Eukaryota; Viridiplantae; Streptophyta; Magnoliopsida; Malpighiales; Euphorbiaceae
Source: RNAcentral